Molecule: long non-coding RNA, 1279 nt
Organism: Papaver somniferum (opium poppy)
Lineage: Eukaryota; Viridiplantae; Streptophyta; Magnoliopsida; Ranunculales; Papaveraceae
Exons: 5
Source: RefSeq, a predicted model, not a curated record
ACGCUUCAUUUGGCUCUCUCUUUUGUCUCUUUUAUCGAAAACAUUGAACACCCUAGACGUUUCUCUCAGAAAACCACAAACUGCAGAAAGAUCCUUGCACCAAUCAAGAUCUGACCAAAGCCUCGUAAAUUUUUUUAAUUCGAAUGGAGAAUCAGGGGUUCUUCCCAAUUUCAAAACUACUUCAUCUUUUUGUCCUUCACUUCACCAGAAAUUUCUUGACAUCAUUCGAUCUGAGAAGAGCAUAGACAAACCCUAGUCAUCUACUAAAUCCCUGUAAACCAAAUCAAUAACCCUCCAUCCCCGCAUCUCUCUCAAUCUCUCUACCAUUCUCUCUGAUCAAACAACAAAACGCCGAAGAAGUAGCAGAAGAAUAAGUAGAUGAAGACGAAGAAAUCAUGAAGGGUUUUCAGCAACAAAAGAUGAUGACUACAAGGAUGGAGAUGGAGAUCUUGUGAAACAGUGAGAUGGUAAUGCGAUGAUGAUGGAGCUGAAAUGGAGUUUAAAUUUGUCAUUACUUAUAUAUAUUUUUAUUCUUUUUAUUUUGUCUAAUCACUUGCCAGUGCGUUGAUGGAAACUAAUUUAUGAAUGACCUACAGAACUCCUCCUAAAGAAAUGAAUCGUAGAGGCAUUUUCAAGAAUCUUCCAAGGCUUUUGGAGUUUUUCAAAGACCCAUCUUUUGCUGCCUUUAUGCCCUUCACAUCCUCCAGUUCUUGGAUGACUUGUACUUGAUAAAAGAAAUGGAUCGAUAAUGUUUAUAUAAAGACUUUGAUUGGGGUACUUGGAAAGCUCCAAAUUGGAUGAAGAAAUGCCCAGUGGCGGUGUCUUUUGGUUUUGGAGGAUAAAUUGUUUCAUGUAAACAUAGUCAGUUAGCUACCAAUCCACCUACAGGAAGUUCCGAGGAUACUGGAUUACUCACAUUCCCUUACGUAUUGCUUUUCGAGGAACUAAAGGGAGCUGUUGCAAGUGCUUGUGGUAAUUUUACUACGCCACCAGCAAUGCUGAAUAUAACUUCCUCGUUGAUGAAAUAAUGGAUCCUAUUGGGGUGUUAUAUGAUGUUUCACUAGGUCAUAUGCUUAGGUGGCCAAAACUUCUACAGAAGAAAAUGCAAUGCCGAUUAAGUGGCAGUUUCAGUAGAUUGACUGCUUCACUUCAGUUUUUUCAGUGUGUUGAGUUGUAAAUGCCGAAUUUAUCCUUUUUUUUUGUUGUAAUGCUUUUUUUUUGGUUGUAAUGUGAAACUGAAUUCUUCUUUUAAAUGCAAUAUAUUUUCGAUUUUAUUUUA